CCUACGGGCGGCUGCAGUAGGGAAUCUUCCACAAUGGACGAAAGUCUGAUGGAGCAACGCCGCGUGAGUGAAGAAGGGUUUCGGCUCGUAAAGCUCUGUUGGUAGUGAAGAAAGAUAGAGGUAGUAACUGGCCUUUAUUUGACGGUAAUUACUUAGAAAGUCACGGCUAACUACGUGCCAGCAGCCGCGGUAAUACGUAGGUGGCAAGCGUUGUCCGGAUUUAUUGGGCGUAAAGCGAGUGCAGGCGGUUCAAUAAGUCUGAUGUGAAAGCCUUCGGCUCAACCGGAGAAUUGCAUCAGAAACUGUUGAACUUGAGUGCAGAAGAGGAGAGUGGAACUCCAUGUGUAGCGGUGGAAUGCGUAGAUAUAUGGAAGAACACCAGUGGCGAAGGCGGCUCUCUUAUACACAUCUGACGCUGAGGCGCGAAAGCGUGGGGAGCAAACAGGAUUAGAUACCCGGGUAGUC
RNAcentral lists this ribosomal RNA (465 nucleotides) under uncultured bacterium. RNAcentral's name for it is "partial 16S ribosomal RNA". It matches the Rfam family "Bacterial small subunit ribosomal RNA", at positions 338 to 795 of the family's 1533-position model. The record is from RNAcentral.